Molecule: ribosomal RNA, 484 nt
Filed under: uncultured bacterium
Lineage: Bacteria
Description: partial 16S ribosomal RNA
Rfam family: Bacterial small subunit ribosomal RNA
Source: RNAcentral
GAUGAACGCUGGCGGCGUGCUUAACACAUGCAAGUCGAACGGUGAAGCAGGAGCUUGCUUUUGUGGAUCAGUGGCGAACGGGUGAGUAACACGUGAGCAACCUGCCCCUGACUCUGGGAUACGCGCUGGAAAAGCCGUCUAAUACUGGAUAUGUGAUGUGACCGCAUGGUCUGCAUUCGGAAAGAAUUUCGGUUGGGGAUGGGCCCGCGGCCUAUCAGCUUGUUGGCGAGGUAAUGGCUCACCAAGGCGUCGACGGGUAGCAGGCCUGAGAGGGUGACCGGCCACACUGGGACUGAGACACGGCCCAGACUCCUACGGGAGGCAGCAGUGGGGAAUAUUGCACAAUGGGCGGAAGCCUGAUGCAGCAACGCCGCGUGAGGGAUGACGGCCUUCGGGUUGUAAACCUCUUUUAGCAGGGAAGAAGCGAAAGUGACGGUACCUGCGGAAAAAGCACCGGCUAACUACGUGCCAGCAGCCGCAGUAA